AAUAAUUUUAAAGCGGGUCGUUCGGUGCGAAUUCGUGAUGAAGAGCCAAGGCUUAUUGAUGUUGAUCCAAAUCACGAAACAGACGAAGACUCUGGCGAUGAGGAAAGACAUAUAUUACCAGAAAUUAAUUCUGACACCGAAGAAGACUCAUCGGAUGAUUCCGAUUACGAGCCUUAGUUUUAAUUUAGAGGACGAAAUCCAUUAAUUUGCAUUGUAUAACUAAUUAAAGACCUUUUCCUUUAUAGUUUACACAUGUUGAAUUCAUAUUUCAGUUAUUUUAUAUGAAUUUUGGUGAUACAUGAUGAACAGGAAAUUUAAGUAUGGUUUACUAAUAUCGUCUGUUUUUUUAAUGUAUUUUUUCAUUUAGCCGACGAAAUACACCAUAUUUCGUCGGCUAAACCCAUAUUAGCCGACGAAAUACACUAUAUUUCGUCGGCUAAAGUAUUUUAGCCGACGAAUUAUAGUGUAUUUCGUCGGCUAUAGUUAUUUUUAAUUUAAAUUUUUUAAUUUUAAUUACAUACUAUAGCCGACGAAAUACACUAUAAUUUGUCGGCUAAAAUACUUUAGCCGAUGAAUAACCUAAUAUUUCGUCGGCUAUAGUUAUUUUUAAUUUAAAUUUUUAAUUUUUAAUUACAUACUAUAGCCGACGAAAUACACUAUAAUUCGUCGGCUAAAAUACUAUAGCCGACGAAUAACCUAAUAUAUCGUCGGUUAUAGUUAUUUUUUAAUUUUUAAUUACAUACUAUAGCCGACGAAUACGUUAGGGUAUUCGUCGGCUAAACCCUAAAAUUUUUCUAUUACCUACUAUAGUGCUAUAUUCAGUGGUUAUUUUGCGUAAAAUUUUUAUACGACUUGUUGCGUGUCAUCGGUUUAAAACUAUUUUCAGUUGGAGGUCCGGCCAAAAUACGUAAUUUAGACGGUCGAACGACCUUUUCCAUGCGUUUAGGGGUUUGACUUACGAGAUUGACCGUCCGGAUCGAGCCCUUAUUCUUUUCGGAUCAAGUUGAAUUUUUUCCCAUACAUGUAUUUUAUCAUGAUGGUCAGAUCUGACGGUCGGAUGACUGUUUCUCAAGUUUGAUCAUCACAAUCACAACAGGCAUACUAAUGUUGUAUAACUUGUUUACCUAGUGUUAUGUAAAUGUUCCGUUUCAAAAACAAACUAUACGUAAAACCUUCAAACGGCAAAAAGUCAUGAAAUAAGAUAUGACGAGAAUGUUGAAAUACAUCCACGGUUGAAAAAUCACACUAUUCCGGUAAAUA
This 1260-nucleotide long non-coding RNA is filed under the name Fragaria vesca (wild strawberry). RNAcentral's name for it is "long non-coding RNA (FVES_LNC005172)". Lineage: Eukaryota; Viridiplantae; Streptophyta; Magnoliopsida; Rosales; Rosaceae. The record is from RNAcentral.